UCCACAUUCCACAAACAAAAACACCAUUAAAUUCAAAAGAAUAACAAAUAAAAAAGUUUUCCUCUAAACAACACAAUCUUUUUUACAGCAUAUCUAAGAUUUUGGUGCUCUUAAAAUGUUUAAUAAAUCAGCUUUUGAUUGUUGGUCAGAAGAAGCAAAAGAUCGUUCUAUAAUAACACUUUGCAAACAGCUUGAUGCCUGUCUCGGAGGUGGUGUUCCUCCAAAAGUAAUUACAGAAUUUUGUGGUGCCCCUGGUACUGGCAAAACUCAGAUGUGUUUGCAACUAUGUGUUAAUGUACAAUUUCCACAAGAAGUGGGUGGAAUUGGUGGUGAAGCUUUGUUUAUUGAUACCAACCAAGGUUUCAGUCCGCGCCGACUGCAAGAGAUUGCACAACAUUGCGCUGAAAGGUAUAUCCAAACGUACAAGAGAUUUCAUAAACAACAAACUGUUGCUGCAGAUUUUAACAGUACUAGCAUUUUAAACAACGUAUCCUACAUAUACUGCAAGGAUUAUGUAGAAUUAUUGACCACAUUAGAGACUGUGAAAUGUAAAUUGGGAUUAAAUAAAAAUGUACGCCUUCUUGCUAUUGAUUCCUUUUCAUUUUUGUUCAGGAGUUUUGAGGAUAAUACCAAUAGGACAAGAAUUAUUUAUGAGAUUCUAACUGAUCUUCAACAAAUGGCUGAUAAAUAUGAUUUAGCGGUGGUAAUCACAAAUGAGCUUACUACCAGAAUAGCCAAUGAAGAGGCAAUAGUUUGUCCAGCUUUAGGAGAUAGCUUAGCGCACAAAGUCGGCCAGCGGAUAAUUUUAAGCAAGCUUAAAAAUGAACAUAAUGUUGCUUUCUUGGCAAAAUCUUAUUUCGUUGCUAAAACUGGAAUUCCGUUUAGAAUUAAAGACAGUGGAAUAAGGGGACUUGAAUAAAUAAAGUUUACAAUGAAAUCAAUUUAACUCCUAGUUUUAAUCUGGAUUCCGUGGCCACUCCAAAGGAUAUGUUGCAUUCCCCUGAUAAUUGCAAGGAGCAUAAAAAAAGAAUAAAAGUCAAUUGAACUUCCCGUUCGUUUGUUAGGAUUUAACAAGGUUUAAAAAAUUGGAUUUAAGAUUGUAUUUAAGUAGUGAAUAUUAUGGAUUUGGAUUUAAAUUUCUUUACAUACAGAUGUGUGUUUAACAAAUCUCGCAGAUUUCUUCUUCGAUGAGCUAGAUGAAGUCUGGUUCUUGACAAUAAGAAACAUAAUGCAAUUCAUCCAAAUUUCAGGAAGGUUCAAGGAGGCACCAACACCUAAUUCCCAAUAAAUCCUUCCCUUACCCAUCUAGAUCCUUCUCAACUUAACCCUGGGGAGCAUAAUAGAUCCAUCGAGAACCGAGUAAGAUGAUUCGACUUGUCGGACUAUCACCCCGUUCAACCUAACCUAAUGGCCGUUAAUGUUUAAAUUGCUUUCAACAAACGUUCCUGAUGAAGAAUAACUACAAAUUAUAAACACACCCAAGAAUAUGUUAAUAAUGUUUUCAUAAUAAU
Molecule: RNA transcript, 1511 nt
Organism: Episyrphus balteatus (marmalade hoverfly)
Lineage: Eukaryota; Metazoa; Arthropoda; Insecta; Diptera; Syrphidae
Gene name: DNA repair protein RAD51 homolog 3
Exons: 8
Source: RefSeq, a predicted model, not a curated record